AUUGAACGCUGGCGGCAUGCCUUACACAUGCAAGUCGAACGGCAGCACGGGUGCUUGCACCUGGUGGCGAGUGGCGAACGGGUGAGUAAUACAUCGGAACAUGUCCUGUAGUGGGGGAUAGCCCGGCGAAAGCCGGAUUAAUACCGCAUACGAUCUACGGAUGAAAGCGGGGGACCUUCGGGCCUCGCGCUAUCGGGUUGGCCGAUGGCUGAUUAGCUAGUUGGUGGGGUAAAGGCCUACCAAGGCGACGAUCAGUAGCUGGUCUGAGAGGACGACCAGCCACACUGGGACUGAGACACGGCCCAGACUCCGACGGGAGGCAGCAGUGGGGAAUUUUGGAAAAUGGGCGAAAGCCUGAUCCAGCAAUGCCGCGGGUGUGAAGAAGGCCUUCGGGUUGUAAAGCACUUUUGUCCGGAAAGAAAUCCUUGGCCCUAAUACGGUCGGGGGAUGACGGUACCGGAAGAAUAAGCACCGGCUAACUACGU
This 485-nucleotide ribosomal RNA is filed under the name uncultured bacterium. RNAcentral describes it as "partial 16S ribosomal RNA". It matches the Rfam family "Bacterial small subunit ribosomal RNA", at positions 30 to 506 of the family's 1533-position model. The record is from RNAcentral.